This 405-nucleotide long non-coding RNA is filed under the name Jaculus jaculus (lesser Egyptian jerboa). RNAcentral describes it as "Prostate cancer antigen RNA 3 conserved region 2 (ENSJJAG00000008437.1)". It matches the Rfam family "Prostate cancer antigen RNA 3 conserved region 2". Lineage: Eukaryota; Metazoa; Chordata; Mammalia; Rodentia; Dipodidae. The record is from RNAcentral.
UGUCUUUGACCCAUUAUUGCAGACUUUAAAAACAACAUGUUUUCAAAUGGUACUAUGAGCUGCCAAUGAUGUAUCACCACAUAUCUCAUUAUUCUCUACUAAAUGUGAUAAUAAUGUGAUCUGUUAACAUAAAAAAGUUUGGCUUCACAAAAGCAGCUGGAAAUGGACAACCACAAUCUGCAUAAAUCUAACUCCUACCAUCAGCUACACACUGCUUGACACAUUGUUGGAAGUACCUUUCAUUGGUGGGCUCUUGUAAGCAAAAUGCUUGCAUUAGGUCCCAGUUGGGGCUAGCAUAAGGCAGUUUGGGAAAUAUUCAAUUCUCAGCAGAAGCCAGAAUUUGAAUUCUUCCAUCUUUCAGGAGUCAUUUACUAGAUCCAGGGGCAGAUUCAGGCAGCUUGGUAC